Molecule: ribosomal RNA, 329 nt
Filed under: uncultured archaeon
Lineage: Archaea
Description: bacterial SSU rRNA
Rfam family: Archaeal small subunit ribosomal RNA
Source: RNAcentral
CCUCGGGAAACUGAGGAUAAACCGCGAUAGGCCAAGGUUUCUGGAAUGAGCCAUGGCCGAAAUCUAUAUGGCCUUUGGAUUGGACUGCGGCCGAUCAGGCUGUUGGUGAGGUAAUGGCCCACCAAACCUGUAACCGGUACGGGCUUUGAGAGAAGGAGCCCGGAGAUGGGCACUGAGACAAGGGCCCAGGCCCUAUGGGGCGCAGCAGGCGCGAAACCUCUGCAAUAGGCGAAAGCUUGACAGGGUUACUCUGAGUGAUGCCCGCUAAGGGUAUCUUUUGGCACCCUCUAAAAUGGUGCAGAAUAAGGGGUGGGCAAGUCUGGUGUCAG